This 276-nucleotide unclassified non-coding RNA is filed under the name air metagenome. RNAcentral describes it as "partial contains small subunit ribosomal RNA, internal transcribed spacer 1, and 5.8S ribosomal RNA". The stretch from base 1 to 46 matches the Rfam family "Eukaryotic small subunit ribosomal RNA", at positions 1786 to 1831 of the family's 1831-position model. The record is from RNAcentral.
AAGUCGUAACAAGGUUUCCGUAGGUGAACCUGCGGAAGGAUCAUUAUCGAGUUAGGGUCCCUAGGGCCCGAACCUCCCAACCCUUUGUUUAUCCAACCUCCGUUGCUUCGGCGGGCCCGUCCUUUAUGGACCGCCGGAGGACCACUGCUCGCGGUGUCCUCUGGCCCGCGCCCGUCGAUAGCCCACGUCUAAACUCUUGUCUAAAACAUGUUUGUCUGCCUAAAUUCAUAAUUAAAAUAAAACGCAAAACUUUCAACAACGGAUCUCUUGGUUCUG